This 257-nucleotide ribosomal RNA is filed under the name uncultured bacterium. RNAcentral's name for it is "partial 16S ribosomal RNA". It matches the Rfam family "Bacterial small subunit ribosomal RNA", at positions 524 to 776 of the family's 1533-position model. The record is from RNAcentral.
UACAGAGACCCCAAGCGUUAUCCGGAAUCAUUGGGCGUAAAGCGUACCGAUAGGUGGUUUAUUAAGUUUUGGGUAAAAGCCAGAAGCUCAACUUCUGCGUUUGCUCAAGAUACUGAUAGACUAGAGGGGCAAAGAGGUCCUUGGAACGAACGGUGUAGUAGUGAAAUGCGUUGAUAUCGUUCGGAACACCGAAAGCGAAGGCAGAGGACUGGGUGCCACCUGACACUACUAGGACGAGAGCGUGGGGAGCGAAUGGG